ACUCAAGGAAAAGAGAUUUUUUCUAAUGCGAAGAAGGAUCAUUAAGUACGAUAAGCUAUUGCGCGGGAGCACGACCGUGAAGAGAAUAGAAAAAAAGAGACCUCAGUGAAGGAAGCAGUUCCUUGGAAAGCAGGGAAAGACGUUAAGUGAGGGAGAGUGAUCUCGUCCCGUAGAAUUGCCUAAUCUCAUGCCUAUAACUGGAAUUCACUCCAUUUAUACCUAAGAGUGUAAACGUUUUAACAUUUCCCUUCCGUGAUGCCUUCGCUGUCUCUCACGACCUCGAUCUGAGGCGCCUCAGGAGGCGCGACAGCAUCGACAGCGACAGCUAUAGCAUAGAGGAUUGAGGAUUCCUCUGAGGAAGGAACAACUACAGGCUCGCUGAACAAGGACUCUGAUGUGACGGAGCUGACCUUCCGCAAACGACCUGACCAUCAUAUGGCUCUCGAAGAACAUUGAAAAUUCUUUACGCUUUCGUUAGUGAGGUACAUCAUUGGCAAAACGAAAUUUUGAGUUUUCAUAUGACCAAUAAUCUGUAUUUUCAGUAACCAAAAAAUAUCUGUUGAUUGGCAAGAAAAAACGUAUAUAUUUUCAUCUUUAUUGCCUACU
Molecule: long non-coding RNA, 606 nt
Organism: Penaeus monodon (black tiger shrimp)
Lineage: Eukaryota; Metazoa; Arthropoda; Malacostraca; Decapoda; Penaeidae
Exons: 3
Source: RefSeq, a predicted model, not a curated record